This 285-nucleotide long non-coding RNA is filed under the name Mytilus galloprovincialis (Mediterranean mussel). Lineage: Eukaryota; Metazoa; Mollusca; Bivalvia; Mytilida; Mytilidae. The record is from RNAcentral.
GUACACUAUACCGAUUAAAAUGAUGUCUUACUUUAAGGAUUGUGACCACGAAUAGUGAAACUACAGCUCUUUUUUUUCAUGUCGCGCAGUAGUGGCAUAUUGGCCAGUGGCAAACAGUUUAACUGGCAAAUUCCAAACAUUUCCUGUAUCACAUUUUCAUCAGUUUUACAAAGAAAAUAAAUCAUAAAAUAGGGUUUCUUUUGAAUAAAUAGAAUAAAAACUAUGAAAUAGGCAUGAAUAAAGUUACUUUAAAUAGAUUUUGUCCCUAGUACUAUAUGAACUAAG